UGGGGAACCUGCCCCAUAGUCUGGGAUACCACUUGGAAACAGGUGCUAAUACCGGAUAAGAAAGCGGAUCGCAUGAUCAGCUUUUAAAAGGCGGCGUAAGCUGUCGCUAUGGGAUGGCCCCGCAGUGCAUUAGCUAGUUGGUAAGGUAAAGGCUUACCAAGGCGAUGAUGCAUAGCCGAGUUGAGAGACUGAUCGGCCACAUUGGGACUGAGACACGGCCCAAACUCCUACGGGAGGCAGCAGCC
RNAcentral lists this ribosomal RNA (245 nucleotides) under uncultured Lactobacillus sp. Its description in RNAcentral is "partial 16S ribosomal RNA". It matches the Rfam family "Bacterial small subunit ribosomal RNA", at positions 118 to 355 of the family's 1533-position model. The record is from RNAcentral. Lineage: Bacteria; Bacillati; Bacillota; Bacilli; Lactobacillales; Lactobacillaceae.